AUACGUAGGGGGCGAGCGUUGUCCGGAAUGACUGGGCGUAAAGGGCGUGUAGGCGGCCGAUUAAGUCUGGAGUGAAAGUCCCGCUUUCAAGGUGGGAAUUGCUUUGGAGACUGGUUGGCUUGAGUGCGGAAGAGGUAAGUGGAAUUCCCAGUGUAGCGGUGAAAUGCGUAGAGAUUGGGAGGAACGCCAGUGGCGAAGGCGACUUACUGGACUGUAACUGACGCUGAGGCGCGAAAGUGUGGGGAGCAAACAGGAUUAGAUACCCUGGUAGUCCACACUGUAAACGAUGAAUGCUAGGUGUAGGGGGUAUCGACCCCUUCUGUGCCGCAGUCAACACAAUAAGCAUUCCGCCUGGGGAGUACGAUCGCAAGAUUGAAACUCAAAGGAAUUGACGGGG
This 397-nucleotide ribosomal RNA is filed under the name uncultured bacterium. RNAcentral describes it as "partial 16S ribosomal RNA". It matches the Rfam family "Bacterial small subunit ribosomal RNA", at positions 523 to 918 of the family's 1533-position model. The record is from RNAcentral.